This 252-nucleotide ribosomal RNA is filed under the name uncultured Bacteroidales bacterium. RNAcentral describes it as "partial 16S ribosomal RNA". It matches the Rfam family "Bacterial small subunit ribosomal RNA", at positions 524 to 776 of the family's 1533-position model. Lineage: Bacteria; Pseudomonadati; Bacteroidota; Bacteroidia; Bacteroidales. The record is from RNAcentral.
UACGGAGGAUGCGAGCGUUAUCCGGAUUUAUUGGGUUUAAAGGGUGCGUAGGCGGUCCGGAAAGUCAGCGGUAAAAGCCCGGGGCUCAACCCCGGCGAGCCGUUGAAACUGGGGAUCUUGAGUGGGCGAGAAGUAUGCGGAAUGCGUGGUGUAGCGGUGAAAUGCAUAGAUAUCACGCAGAACUCCGAUUGCGAAGGCAGCGUACCGGCGCCCAACUGACGCUGAAGCACGAAGGCGUGGGUAUCGAACAGG